UACGUAGGGUGCAAGCGUUUAAUCGGAAUUACUGGGCGUAAAGCGUGCGCAGGCGGUUUUGUAAGUCUGUCGUGAAAGCCCCGGGCUCAACCUGGGAAUGGCGAUGGAGACUGCAAGGCUAGAGUGUGUCAGAGGGGGGUAGAAUUCCACGUGUAGCAGUGAAAUGCGUAGAGAUGUGGAGGAACACCGAUGGCGAAGGCAGCCCCCUGGGAUAACACUGA
This 221-nucleotide ribosomal RNA is filed under the name uncultured bacterium. RNAcentral describes it as "partial 16S ribosomal RNA". It matches the Rfam family "Bacterial small subunit ribosomal RNA", at positions 524 to 743 of the family's 1533-position model. The record is from RNAcentral.